GUAGGAUAGAGGCCUACCAUGGUGGUAACGGGUAACGGGGAAUUAGGGUUCGAUUCCGGAGAGGGAGCCUGAGAAACGGCUACCACAUCCAAGGAAGGCAGCAGGCGCGCAAAUUACCCAAUCCCGACACGGGGAGGUAGUGACAAUAAAUAACAAUACGGGGCUCUUUCGGGUCUCGUAAUUGGAAUGAGUACAAUUUAAAUCCCUUAACGAGGAACAAUUGGAGGGCAAGUCUGGUGCCAGCAGCCGCGGUAAUUCCAGCUCCAAUAGCGUAUAUUUAAGUUGUUGCAGUUAAAAAGCUCGUAGUUGAAUUUCGGGAUUGACACAUCGGUCGUGCCCUAAGGGGUAUGAACUGGUGUCGUCAGUUUCUCACCUUCUGGAGAACCGCGAUGUCCUUAAUUGGGUGCCGCGAGGAACCAGGACCUUUACUUUGAAAAAAUUAGAGUGUUUAAAGCAGGCAUUUCGCUUGAAUACAUUAGCAUGGAAUAAUAAAAUAGGACGGAUGGUUCUAUUUUGUUGGUUUCUAGGAUCACCGUAAUGAUUAAUAGGGAUAGUUGGGGGCAUUAGUAUUCAAUUGUCAGAGGUGAAAUUCUUGGAUUUAUUGAAGACUAACUACUGCGAAAGCAUUUGCCAAGGAUGUUUUCAUUAAUCAAGAACGAAAGUUAGGGGAUCGAAGACGAUCAGAUACCGUCGUAGUCUUAACCAUAAACUAUGCCGACUAGGAAUCAGACGAUGUUAAUUUUUUAAUGACUCGUUUGGCACCUUACGGGAAACCAAAGUGUUUGGGUUC
This 790-nucleotide ribosomal RNA is filed under the name uncultured Glomus. RNAcentral's name for it is "SSU rRNA". It matches the Rfam family "Eukaryotic small subunit ribosomal RNA", at positions 328 to 1114 of the family's 1831-position model. The record is from RNAcentral. Lineage: Eukaryota; Fungi; Glomeromycota; Glomeromycetes; Glomerales; Glomeraceae.